This is a non-coding RNA of Chlorocebus sabaeus (green monkey), 637 nucleotides long. Lineage: Eukaryota; Metazoa; Chordata; Mammalia; Primates; Cercopithecidae. The record is from RefSeq and is a predicted model, not a curated record.
ACUACCAGUGUCUGUCUGACUGUGGCUAUCGCCCUGCAUGGCCAUGAGAUGUGCGUGACUCACUCCGGAGAGGCAAGCUCCUGUACAAAUUGACCGUUCACGGUCUUAGUUCUGAACUGCCUUUCUGGACGCUUCUUUCUGUUUCUCUCUACUUUUGACGCUCUGAGCUAGCAAGUCUGAUGUCCUUCUGUUCCCUAGUCUAGGUCUGGGCUUGAUGUUCACCAAUUUUCCCUCAGGUCCGACUGUGGCUUCUCUCAGCAGACUCUGAUCCUGCUCUCAGCUGGGCUGCAUCUGCCCAUCUCAGCACAUCGAUAAACAACAGAGGCAAACUACCACCUUGGAGGAAGCCAGGCAGUGUCUGCUGGGCAGGACGCAGCCGGGAGCAUGGAAGUCGCUUCUUCCAUCCUCCACUGGAAACCACCCAGCAUCCUGGGCCCUCCAGAGAGGAGCCAGACUCCCUCUGGCAAGAGACUAUAGUCCUAUCUGUAUCCUCCGUGGUCACUGCCCCUCAGUCACAGCAAUGAAGAGCAAAUUACCUGUUUUCUGUAUGUUCCUCCGACAACAACUCACACAGAGUAAAUAUGAAAGGUUCUGGAUGAUUCGUUGUCAGCUUUUAUUAAAAUUCCACAUACUUGGC